RNAcentral lists this ribosomal RNA (146 nucleotides) under Typhula sp. UW98. G4. Its description in RNAcentral is "5.8S ribosomal RNA". It matches the Rfam family "5.8S ribosomal RNA". Rfam says of the family: 5.8S ribosomal RNA (5.8S rRNA) is a component of the large subunit of the eukaryotic ribosome. It is transcribed by RNA polymerase I as part of the 45S precursor that also contains 18S and 28S rRNA. Functionally, it is thought that 5.8S rRNA may be involved in ribosome translocation. The record is from RNAcentral. Lineage: Eukaryota; Fungi; Basidiomycota; Agaricomycetes; Agaricales; Typhulaceae.
ACUUUUAACAACGGAUCUCUUGGUCUCGCAUCGAUGAAGAACCCAAGCAAAUUCGAUUAAGUAUGUUAAUUCCAAUUCAAGUAAUCAUUGAUCCUUGACGCCCCCUGGGCCUUUGGUAUUCGAAGGCAUGCUGUUUAAGGUCAUUA